This 636-nucleotide ribosomal RNA is filed under the name Penicillium tularense. Its description in RNAcentral is "eukaryotic LSU rRNA". It matches the Rfam family "Eukaryotic large subunit ribosomal RNA", at positions 1 to 649 of the family's 3401-position model. The record is from RNAcentral. Lineage: Eukaryota; Fungi; Ascomycota; Eurotiomycetes; Eurotiales; Aspergillaceae.
UUGACCUCGGAUCAGGUAGGGAUACCCGCUGAACUUAAGCAUAUCAAUAAGCGGAGGAAAAGAAACCAACAGGGAUUGCCCCAGUAACGGCGAGUGAAGCGGCAAGAGCUCAAAUUUGAAAGCUGGCUCCUUCGGGGUCCGCAUUGUAAUUUGCAGAGGAUGCUUCGGGAGCGGUCCCCAUCUAAGUGCCCUGGAACGGGACGUCAUAGAGGGUGAGAAUCCCGUAUGGGAUGGGGUGUCCGCGCCCGUGUGAAGCUCCUUCGACGAGUCGAGUUGUUUGGGAAUGCAGCUCUAAAUGGGUGGUAAAUUUCAUCUAAAGCUAAAUAUUGGCCGGAGACCGAUAGCGCACAAGUAGAGUGAUCGAAAGAUGAAAAGCACUUUGAAAAGAGAGUUAAAAAGCACGUGAAAUUGUUGAAAGGGAAGCGCUUGCGACCAGACUCGCUCGCGGGGUUCAGCCGGCAUUCGUGCCGGUGUACUUCCCCGCGGGCGGGCCAGCGUCGGUUUGGGCGGUCGGUCAAAGGCCCUCGGAAGGUAACGCCCCCUCGGGGGCGUCUUAUAGCCGAGGGUGCAAUGCGACCUGCCUGGACCGAGGAACGCGCUUCGGCUCGGACGCUGGCAUAAUGGUCGUAAGCGACC